RNAcentral lists this ribosomal RNA (494 nucleotides) under uncultured bacterium. RNAcentral's name for it is "partial 16S ribosomal RNA". It matches the Rfam family "Bacterial small subunit ribosomal RNA", at positions 28 to 507 of the family's 1533-position model. The record is from RNAcentral.
GACGAACGCUGGCGGCGUGCUUAACACAUGCAAGUCGAACGGAAAGGCCUGUCCUUCCUUGUGUUGGACGGGUACUCGAGUGGCGAACGGGUGAGUAACACGUGAGUGAUCUGCCCCCAACUUGGGUAUAAGCCUGGGAAACUGGGUCUAAUUCCCGAUAGGACUGCAGGGUGGUGCCUGUGGUGGAAAACGAUUUUCUAGUGGUUGGGGAUGAGCUCGCGGCCUAUCAGCUUGUUGGUGGGGUAAUGGCCUACCAAGGCGGCGACGGGUAGCCGGCCUGAGAGGGUGGACGGCCACAUUGGGACUGGGAUACGGCCCAGACUCCUACGGGAGGCAGCAGUGGGGAAUAUUGCACAAUGGGCGGAAGCCUGAUGCAGCGACGCCGCGUGGGGGAUGACGGCCUUCGGGUUGUAAACUCCUUUCGACCGCGAGGAAGCCGCCUGGUUGGAAGGGUGGUGACGGUAGUGGUAGAAGAAGCACCGGCUAACUACGUG